GACGAACGCUGGCGGCGUGCUUAACACAUGCAAGUCGAACGGAAAGGCCCCUUUGGGGGUACUCGAGUGGCGAACGGGUGAGUAACACGUGAGUAACCUGCCCUUGACUUCGGGAUAACUUCAGGAAACUGGGGCUAAUACCGGAUAGGAAUCCUUGCUGCAUGGUGGGGGUUGGAAAGCUUCGGCGGUUUUGGAUGGACUCGCGGCUUAUCAGCUUGUUGGUGGGGUAGUGGCUUACCAAGGCUUUGACGGGUAGCCGGCCUGAGAGGGCGACCGGCCACAAUUGGACCUGGAUAAGGCCCAGACCCCCACGGGAGGGAGGAGGGGGGGAAAUUGGCAAAGUGGCGGGAGGCCGAUGCAGGCACGCCGCGGGCGGGGUGACCGGCCUCGGGUUGGAAACCGGCUUCAGCAGGGGCGGAGCCUGGUGUGAAGGUAACUGCAGAAGAAGCACCGGCUAACUACGGG
RNAcentral lists this ribosomal RNA (465 nucleotides) under uncultured bacterium. Its description in RNAcentral is "partial 16S ribosomal RNA". It matches the Rfam family "Bacterial small subunit ribosomal RNA", at positions 28 to 507 of the family's 1533-position model. The record is from RNAcentral.